GUACAUGCCUACAACAUAACUUUAAUGCAUUGGAUCCCAUUAGAACUUUGCAGUUAAGCAUGCUAGGGAUAGAGUAGUAUUGGGAUGGGUGACCACCUAGGAAAUCCUAGUGUUUUAUAUG
Non-coding RNA from Picea glauca (white spruce), 121 nucleotides. The record is from Rfam. NCBI's taxonomy places the organism in Eukaryota, Viridiplantae, Streptophyta, Pinopsida, Pinales, Pinaceae.